Long non-coding RNA from Alligator sinensis (Chinese alligator), 220 nucleotides. RefSeq lists it as uncharacterized. The transcript is spliced from 2 exons. NCBI's taxonomy places the organism in Eukaryota, Metazoa, Chordata, Crocodylia, Alligatoridae. The record is from RefSeq and is a predicted model, not a curated record.
AUUCAAGAUGGACUCGAGGGGAAUGCCUCAAGACCUAAGGUUGAGGAGGACCAGGAACAAGAAACUCCAGCAAGAACUGUGGUGGAGUUCAUUCGGCUGUGCUAAUUUCAUGAAUAGAUGCACACAGAGAACAGCGUUCUUGUAUUAGGACCAAACAUAUCAUUGGAGGAAGCAAUACUCUCCCUUCCAGUCCUAGGAUCUUAUGAAUAUUUUGAAACAG